RNAcentral lists this ribosomal RNA (442 nucleotides) under uncultured Hyphomicrobiaceae bacterium. Its description in RNAcentral is "bacterial SSU rRNA". It matches the Rfam family "Bacterial small subunit ribosomal RNA", at positions 338 to 797 of the family's 1533-position model. The record is from RNAcentral. Lineage: Bacteria; Pseudomonadati; Pseudomonadota; Alphaproteobacteria; Hyphomicrobiales; Hyphomicrobiaceae.
CCUACGGGAGGCUGCAGUGGGGAAUCUUGGACAAUGGGCGCAAGCCUGAUCCAGCCAUGCCGCGUGAGUGACGAAGGCCUUAGGGUUGUUAAGCUCUUUUGGCGGGGACGAUAAUGACGGUACCCGCAGAAUAAGCCCCGGCUAACUUCGUGCCAGCAGCCGCGGUAAUACGAAGGGGGCUGGCGUUGUUCGGAAUUACUGGGCGUAAAGCGCACGUAGGCGGAUUUGUAAGUCAGGGGUGAAAUCCCGGGGCUCAACCUCGGAACUGCCUUUGAUACUGCAAAUCUUGAGUCCGAUAGAGGUGAGUGGAAUUCCUAGUGUAGAGGUGAAAUUCGUAGAUAUUAGGAAGAACACCAGUGGCGAAGGCGGCUCACUGGAUCGGUACUGACGCUGGGGUGCGAAAGCGUGGGGAGCAAACAGGAUUAGAUACCCUGGUAGUCUC